Molecule: ribosomal RNA, 116 nt
Filed under: uncultured bacterium
Lineage: Bacteria
Description: partial 16S ribosomal RNA
Rfam family: Bacterial small subunit ribosomal RNA
Source: RNAcentral
CGUUCCCGGGUCUUGUACACACCGCCCGCCACACCACGAAAGUCGGCAACACCCGAAGCCGGUGGCCUAACCCGCAAGGGAGGGAGCCGUCGAAGGUGGGGCUGGCGAUUGGGGUG